GACGAACGCUGGCGGCGUGCUUAACACAUGCAAGUCGAACGGAAAGGCCCUGCUUUUGUGGGGUGCUCGAGUGGCGAACGGGUGAGUAACACGUGAGUAACCUGCCCUUGACUUUGGGAUAACUUCAGGAAACUGGGGCUAAUACCGGAUAGGAGCUCCGGCUGCAUGGUGGGGGUUGGAAAGUUUCGGCGGUUGGGGAUGGACUCGCGGCUUAUCAGCUUGUUGGUGGGGUAGUGGCUUACCAAGGCUUUGACGGGUAGCCGGCCUGAGAGGGUGACCGGCCACAUUGGGACUGAGAUACGGCCCAGACUCCUACGGGAGGCAGCAGUGGGGAAUAUUGCACAAUGGGCGGAAGCCUGAUGCAGCAACGCCGCGUGCGGGAUGACGGCCUUCGGGUUGUAAACCGCUUUCGGCUGGGACGAAGCGUGAGUGACGGUAAUGGGUAAAGAAGCACCGGCUAACUACGUG
RNAcentral lists this ribosomal RNA (468 nucleotides) under uncultured bacterium. Its description in RNAcentral is "partial 16S ribosomal RNA". It matches the Rfam family "Bacterial small subunit ribosomal RNA", at positions 28 to 507 of the family's 1533-position model. The record is from RNAcentral.